Molecule: ribosomal RNA, 468 nt
Filed under: Triticum aestivum (bread wheat)
Lineage: Eukaryota; Viridiplantae; Streptophyta; Magnoliopsida; Poales; Poaceae
Description: partial small subunit ribosomal RNA
Source: RNAcentral
AUGAAGCGCGUAGUGGGGAGCCCGGGGACAUGGAGCGGCAUGGCACUGCGGCUGUCGCAGUCCGUCUUCGCCGCCGCCUCCACCUUCUCCAUGGUCUCCGGCUUCGGCUACUCCAACUACAGCGCCUUCUUCUACAUGAAUCUAGCGUUGAUCCUGCAGAUUAUGUGGAGUUUGGGCCUUGCUUGUAAGGAUAUCUUUGCUCUAAGGAAUAAAAAGGAUCUUCACACCCCGGAUAAUCUAUUUAUCAUUGUUAUGGUUGACUGGGUCGUGGCGGUUUUCAUGUUCUCAGGAGCCUGUGCCUCCGCGAGCCUGACAAUUUUCUUCAUGUGGGAUGUGCAAUUCUGCGAGACAUACUCGAAGCUGGCCUGCCGGCAGUUCGCUCUUUCGGUCGUCCUGGCGUUCAUCACGUGGUUGCUGCAAGCUGCUUCUUCUUUCUCCGGAUUCUGGCUACUGGUUUCGUUCUCCUAG